RNAcentral lists this long non-coding RNA (286 nucleotides) under Capra hircus (goat). RNAcentral's name for it is "lncRNA (ENSCHIG00000007116.1)". The record is from RNAcentral. Lineage: Eukaryota; Metazoa; Chordata; Mammalia; Artiodactyla; Bovidae.
CUGAAACUCAUCCAGUAUGCCCUUCUAUUUCCAGGUCCUGUAGCCUCUGAAAGUCUUACCUCAGUGACUGCUCAUGGUGCCAACCUCUUGGGUCAAGAGUCCUGUUGUUGCAGGAUCUCAAAGCUUCAGGCCUUGAAGGGGCAGAGAGAAACAAACUAAAUCACACUUCGUUUAAAAAAACAAGCGAAUAGGACCUUCUUCAGAGAUCCCCUCCCACUACUGCGGCUCUUCUGUGUUCAGGAGGGUUAGGAGGGUAUGUAUACUGUGUUUGGAAAUAAUUUUCUCU